This 252-nucleotide ribosomal RNA is filed under the name uncultured bacterium. RNAcentral's name for it is "partial 16S ribosomal RNA". It matches the Rfam family "Bacterial small subunit ribosomal RNA", at positions 524 to 776 of the family's 1533-position model. The record is from RNAcentral.
UACGUAGGGGGCAAGCGUUGUCCGGAUUUAUUGGGCGUAAAGGGUUCGCAGGUGGCCUUUUAAGUCAGAUGUGAAAGAUCAAGGCUUAACCUUGGUAAGCAUUUGAAACUGAAAGGCUUGAGUUAAGGAGAGGAAAGUGGAAUUCCUAGUGUAGCGGUGAAAUGCGUAGAUAUUAGGAGGAAUACCAGUGGCGAAGGCGACUUUCUGGACUUAUACUGACACUGAGGAACGAAAGCAUGGGGAGCAAACAGG